This 26-nucleotide non-coding RNA is filed under the name Mus musculus (house mouse). The record is from RNAcentral. Lineage: Eukaryota; Metazoa; Chordata; Mammalia; Rodentia; Muridae.
UGGGCCUUGUUCGAUGGGAAGUGUCA